RNAcentral lists this ribosomal RNA (496 nucleotides) under uncultured bacterium. Its description in RNAcentral is "partial 16S ribosomal RNA". It matches the Rfam family "Bacterial small subunit ribosomal RNA", at positions 28 to 506 of the family's 1533-position model. The record is from RNAcentral.
GAUGAACGCUGGCGGCGUGCCUAAUACAUGCAAGUCGAGCGAACGGACGAGAAGCUUGCUUCUCUGAUGUUAGCGGCGGACGGGUGAGUAACACGUGGAUAACCUACCUAUAAGACUGGGAUAACUUCGGGAAAUCGGAGCUAAUACCGGAUAAUAUUUUGAACCGCAUGGUUCAAAAGUGAAAGACGGUCUUGCUGUCACUUAUAGAUGGAUCCGCGCUGCAUUAGCUAGUUGGUAAGGUAACGGCUUACCAAGGCAACGAUGCAUAGCCGACCUGAGAGGGUGAUCGGCCACACUGGAACUGAGACACGGUCCAGACUCCUACGGGAGGCAGCAGUAGGGAAUCUUCCGCAAUGGGCGAAAGCCUGACGGAGCAACGCCGUGUGAGUGAUGAAGGUCUUCGGAUCGUAAAACUCUGUUAUUAGGGAAGAACAUAUGUGUAAGUAACUGUGCACAUCUGGACGGUACCUAAGCAGAAAGCCACGGCUAACUACGU